This 375-nucleotide ribosomal RNA is filed under the name uncultured eukaryote. RNAcentral describes it as "partial 18S ribosomal RNA". It matches the Rfam family "Eukaryotic small subunit ribosomal RNA", at positions 592 to 976 of the family's 1831-position model. The record is from RNAcentral.
CAAUAGCGUAUAUUUAAGUUGUUGCAGUUAAAAAGCUCGUAGUUGGAUUUCGGUUAAGAGCGACCGGUCCGCCGUUUGGUGUGCACUGGUUGGUUUUAACUUCCUGUAGAGGACGUGCUCUGGGUUUAACGACCUGGACUCGGAGUCUACGUGGUUACUUUGAAAAAAUUAGAGUGUUCAAAGCGGGCUUACGCUUGAAUAUUUCAGCAUGGAAUAACACUAUAGGACUCCUGUCCUAUUUCGUUGGUCUCGGGACGGGAGUAAUGAUUAAGAGGAACAGUUGGGGGCAUUCGUAUUUCAUUGUCAGAGGUGAAAUUCUUGGAUUUAUGAAAGACGAACUUCUGCGAAAGCAUUUACCAAGGAUGUUUUCAUUAA